Molecule: non-coding RNA, 418 nt
Organism: Rhinichthys klamathensis goyatoka
Lineage: Eukaryota; Metazoa; Chordata; Actinopteri; Cypriniformes; Leuciscidae
Source: the annotation of a RefSeq genome assembly
CAACACACUCUUCAUCAUCACACAAGACUAAACUACAACUAUGAACAACAUCUACAUCUUCAUCUGGACUCUGACUCUCUGCAUUCAGGAGAUCUGGGGACAAGUGACAGUGACUCAGAAUCCAGCAAUAAAACCCGUCAAACAAGGAGAAACUGUUACAAUCAGCUGUAAAACCAGUCAGCCGCUUUCUGCCUGUAGUAACUGUGUGUCCUGGUAUCAGCAGAAACCUGGAGAAGCUCCUAAACUCCUGAUUUAUUACAUAAUAAGCCGUUAUACUGGAACUCCAUCUAGAUUCAGUGGCAGUGGAUCUGGCAGUGAUUUUACUCUGACCAUCAGUGGAGUCCAGACUGAAGAUACAGGAUAUUAUUACUGUCAGAGUUAUCACUAUAUCAACAGUAAAAAGGUGUUCACACAGUGA